RNAcentral lists this ribosomal RNA (260 nucleotides) under uncultured bacterium. RNAcentral describes it as "partial 16S ribosomal RNA". It matches the Rfam family "Bacterial small subunit ribosomal RNA", at positions 15 to 264 of the family's 1533-position model. The record is from RNAcentral.
GAUCAUGGCUCAGGAUGAACGCUAGCUACAGGCUUAACACAUGCAAGUCGAGGGGCAGCAUUUUAGUUUGCUUGCAAACUAAAGAUGGCGACCGGCGCACGGGUGAGUAACACGUAUCCAACCUGCCGAUAACUCGGGGAUAGCCUUUCGAAAGAAAGAUUAAUAUCCGAUGGUAUAUUAAAACCGCANGGUUUUACUAUUAAAGAAUUUCGGUUAUCGAUGGGGAGUGCGUUCCAUAGUUUGUUUGGCGGGGUAACGGG